AUUUUAUGUAAUAAAUAAUUUUUAAUUAAGUUUAUAUUUCUAUGAAUUCUAUUUCAAUUAUCUUUAGAAUUAUUUUAUUUAAAAAAAAAAGAAGAAGUAGCCGCACGUUUUCAAACUAAGUAAAAUUCUAACUAAUAUCUUGGAUAAAAAUCCGGGAUGUUACAUUUGGUAUCAGAGCAAUAAUCCUCGGACAAAUAUUUUUGGGGUGGGAGCGAUUGUGUAUAACGAAUGUCUUGAUUGAUGUGUGACUAUGUGUUUGUGCUUGUUAUUCUUGGUGUUUCUUAGUGUGAUUUUCGUAAGAUGAUUAUUGUACGAUCUUUUUAAAACAAAUGAAUUUGUAAAUGUUAGAAACUAUGCUUCCAGUUGUGCAAUACCAUUUGUUUUUUUUAAAACAAUAUUUUCUUUUGAGGAGUAUCUGAUUAUAUUUCUAUCAUACUAGUAUUUUAUUUUAUCUAUAUUGGACUAUUUUACUUAAAUUAUCCAUAAAUGAAUUUAUCUUUGCAAAUCAUUUUGCCACUUAUGUUUUUUAUCUUUGUUGGACAUCAGAGUGCGCAGCGAACACUUCUUCAUUUUUAAACACUCUUGUCGACGUAUAAAAAGAGUACCUUACAUAAACAAUUUUGGAAAUUUUACCUCAAAAAUUUUUAUUUUCUAGUUUCGAGGACGAAACUCUUUUAAGGGGGUAAUAAUGUAACACCCCAAUAUUUUAUACAUACAUUUUAUUGAUUUGUUAUUUGAUUAAUAAAAUCUAUAUAAGUAAUUAUUUUAUAUUCCAUUUUCUUAUUUUAUUUUUUGAUGUGAUAAUAUUUGUUUUAAUUAUUGCUUCACUAAUUUAUAAGUUUUGGAAAUUAAUUAGCACUAGUUUUAGGAUGAUGAUAAAUCCAUUUGACCAAGCCAAAAUUGGAAGCCCUGCCAAUAUAUUAUCCACGUGAAACAUGAUUGACCAUGAUUAGAUUAUAUUUAAAUAUUAAUUAUUAAUUAUUAAUCUUUUAUUCAAUGCUAUUUAAAUGAAUUGGUCUUAGUCAAACACAUUCAUUUCCUCUUAAUGUGAAAUUGAUUGAACAAAAUGAUGAGUAGUUGUCAUUUUUAUAAUGCUACGUUUUGAAGGAGAUUAUAGCAAGUACCUCUCUCCCUUUUGCUUGUUUAUACGUACACCUCUUCUUUCCUUUCACAAAUUCAUAUUCAUUCUUUUACUUACUAGUUUAUAUAUCUCCCCCGCAAACAAAGAAAAAUUGGUACGUAAAUGUCAAACUCUCCCUUCACGAAACAAAACCAAACUCAUGCAAAGCUAGUUCCCUUCAUCAUUUCAAGUUAUCAUCAAGUUUUAUUCUUAACCUCAUUCUUUCCGAAUUCAAUUCAUAGCUGCAAUCAUAGAAUCACGUUCUCUCCUUCGUCUACCGUCGGAUUGUCGAAUCGAUCUUUGGAGCGUGAGUUAUCGCAUGUGCAAUGUAAAUGCAAAUUUAAGCUAGUAUAGUGAUUGGAAGAAAGCACACGAGGGACGAGGAGGAGCCAUUAGAGCCUGAGAUUGAGGUAACAUGUUUCUCAUUCUUUCUACUCUUAUCCUUUUAGUUUUUGGAAUUUAAUGGAUUUAUGGAUUGAUCGAUGGAUUGUUACACUCCUAAAAGGGGUAGUUUAGCUGAUAAUUUAUUUGUGUUUCUAGUAUGAUUUGGUGUUUGUUCAGUGCAGAUGGAAUUGUAAUCUACGCCCAUGUGAUUUUAAAAUGGAGAAGCUGGUCUUAAGUUAUUUUCAAACUUUUAGCCUUGUAGGUGUAUGCACAACUUUAACCUCAGGCCACAACAUGCAACUCAGGUCUUUGACAUCAUUGAGGACUUUUACAUUGGAGACUUGGAGCAAUAGCUAAUACUAUGUUUGGAUUUCCAUUGCAAACUUAAGUUUCGGUCCAAAAGUUGCCCUUCAUUUUUGCAAGUUAAUGGUGGUUCAUCAGAUUCUAAUAUCGAAGUUCAGAAUGAGAUUGUUCAUUGGCAUAAUAGGAAUUAUAAUCAAUGUGUCAUUUGAAAUGUGAGUGUGUCAUUAAUUUGAAGCAUUAAUGCUGAACUGAUAUUGGAAUGCUAUUAAGAAGCCAAAAUUGGAUUUUGGGCUGCUUAUAAUGUCAAACUUCAAUUUCCCUAGCCUUCAAAAGACCAUGAAUGCUAGAAGCAUGAGGCAGAACCAUAUAUGUUGUUAGGAUCAAGGAGGUGAGGGUAAGACUAUAAUUAACUAUGUGUUGUACUUUUUCCACAAGAUCAAGGUGGAGGUGAGAGUAAUUUAGUAUAUCUUUAAGUUCUGGUUUUGCAUCUUUGAUGAAGUUUUUCUGAUUUUUAUUUUUGAUGAGUUGCUUUUGCUCUCAAGUGGGUAAGAUUUUUAUUAUGGAGAAGCAAAGAUGGCUCUGAAGGUAGGCACUUUGAAAAUUGAGUUUUACAUCAUGGAUAUAGUCACUGUGACAGCUGCAGGCAUCAUCAGAGUUAGAGAUGUGAAAACUUCACAAGAUGUUGGAAGAUGAGGCUCAUCAGAGAGAGAAACUUGAAGGAGAAAGUGUAAUAUUACAAUAAAAUCUAGUGGUACUGAAUUAUCAAUUAUUUGGCAUGUGAUGUACAUCUAUGUAUUUACUAUUUUCAUUUUUUAUAUUAAUUUAGUAUAUAAUUUUUUUUUUGGUACAUUAGUAUAUAAUAAUUUAUUUGGGUAAUUAUGAAUUUUAUGUUUAUUUGUUGUACAUUUUGUACU
Trifolium pratense (red clover) is the source of this 2721-nucleotide long non-coding RNA. RefSeq lists it as uncharacterized. NCBI's taxonomy places the organism in Eukaryota, Viridiplantae, Streptophyta, Magnoliopsida, Fabales, Fabaceae. The transcript is spliced from 6 exons. The record is from RefSeq and is a predicted model, not a curated record.